AACAAUUUUUGCAGCUCAUAUAUAAAAUUGGAAUGAUACAGAAAAGAUUAGCAUGGCCCCUGUGCAAGGGGGGUCGAUUUUUUUUUUUUUUGUACUUCAUUGUC
This is a non-coding RNA of Mus musculus (house mouse), 104 nucleotides long. The record is from Rfam. NCBI's taxonomy places the organism in Eukaryota, Metazoa, Chordata, Mammalia, Rodentia, Muridae.